UGUCUAAGUAUAAAUGUUAUACAGUGAAACUGCGGAAUGGCUCAUUAAAACAGUUAUAGUUUAUUUGAUAAUCAAAUUUACAUGGAUAACCGUGGUAAUUCUAGAGCUAAUACAUGCUGUUAAGCCCGACUUUGAGGAAGGGCCGUAUUUAUUAGAUAACAAAUCAAUAUUCCUUGUGUCUAUUGUGACGAUUCAUAAUAACUGAUCGAAUCGCAUGGGCUUUGCCCGCGAUGCAUCAUUCAAGUUUCUGCCCCAUCAGCUUUCGAUGGUAGUGUAUUGGACUACCAUGGCUUUCACGGGUAACGGAGGAUUAGGGUUCGAUUCCGGAGAGGGAGCCUGAGAAACGGCUACCACAUCUAAGGAAGGCAGCAGGCGCGUAAAUUACCCAAUCCUGACUCAGGGAGGUAGUGACAAGAAAUAACGGACCGAAGCCUAUGUUUCGGGAUUGCAAUGAGUAGAAUUUAAACCCCUUUACGAGGAUCAAUUGGAGGGCAAGUCUGGUGCCAGCAGCCGCGGUAAUUCCAGCUCCAAUAGCGUAUAUUAAAGUUGUUGCAGUUAAAAAGCUCGUAGUUGGAUUUCUGGAGGGGUGCCAAUGUCCGAUUGUUUCGUGUGCAGCGGCGCCCUUCCAUCCUUCUGUUAACGUUUCUGAUAUUCAUUUAUUGGUCUCGGGCUCAGAUAUUUUACCUUGAGAAAAUUAGAGUGUUCCAGGCAGGCUUGCGCCGGAAUACAUUAGCAUGGAAUAAUAGAAUAGGACUUUAGUCUCCUUUGUUGGUUUGAGGGACUGAAGUAAUGAUUAAUAGGGAUAGUUGGGGGCAUUAGUAUUUAAUUGUCAGAGGUGAAAUUCUCGGAUUUGUUAAAGACUAACUUAUGCGAAAGCAUUUGCCAAGGAUGUUUUCAUUAAUCAAGAACGAAAAGUUAAGGGGAUCAAAGGACGAUCAGAUACCGUCCCUAGUCUUAACCAUAAACUAUGCCGAACUAGGGGAUCGGAGGCGUGCUUGAUCCGCCUUCGGGCACCUUAUGGAGAAUCAAGUCUUUGGUUCUGGGGGGGAGUCAUGGUCGCAAGGCUGAAACUUAAAGGAAUUGACGGAAGGGCACCACCAGGAGUGGAGCUUGCGGCUCAAUUUGACUCAACACGGGAAAACUUACCAGGUCCAGACAUAGUGAGGAUUGACAGAUUGAUAGCUCUUUCUUGAUUCUAUGGGUGGUGGUGCAUGGCCGUUCUUAGUUGGUGGAGUGAUUUGUCUGGUUAAUUCCGUUAACGAACGAGACCUUAGCCUACUAACUAGUCGAUCCGUUGUUAAGCGGACACGACUUCUUAGAGGGACUUUGUGACUAAACACAAGGAAGUUUGAGGCAAUAACAGGUCUGUGAUGCCCUUAGAUGUCCUGGGCCGCACGCGUGCUACACUGACGCAUACAGCGAGUACUUCCCAGCUCCGUGAGGCAGCUGGUAAUCAGCAAUAUGCGUCGUGAUGGGGAUAGAUCUUUGGAAUUAUAGAUCUUGAACGAGGAAUUCCUAGUAAGCGCAAGUCAUUAGCUUGCGCUGAUUAAGUCCCUGCCCUUUGUACACACCGCCCGUCGCUCCUACCGAUUUCGAGUGAUCCGGUGAACCAUUUGGACCGCGCGGCCCUCGUGGUUGUGUGGAAAAUCUAGUAAACCAUAUCAC
RNAcentral lists this ribosomal RNA (1665 nucleotides) under Coniculostomum monilata. Its description in RNAcentral is "SSU rRNA". It matches the Rfam family "Eukaryotic small subunit ribosomal RNA". The record is from RNAcentral. Lineage: Eukaryota; Ciliophora; Spirotrichea; Sporadotrichida; Oxytrichidae.